UACGAGGGGGGCGAGCGUUGUUCGGAAUUAUUGGGCGUAAAGGGUGCGUAGGCGGUUCCGCAAGUCCUGUGUGAAAUCUUCGGGCUCAACUCGAAGUCUGCACGGGAAACUGCGGGGCUUGAGUGUGGGAGAGGUGAGUGGAAUUCCCGGUGUAGCGGUGGAAUGCGCAGAUAUCAGGAGGAACACCGGUGGCGAAGGCGGGUCUCUGGGCAGUAACUGACGCUGAGGAGCGAAAGCGUGGGGAGCGAACAGG
This 253-nucleotide ribosomal RNA is filed under the name uncultured bacterium. RNAcentral's name for it is "partial 16S ribosomal RNA". It matches the Rfam family "Bacterial small subunit ribosomal RNA", at positions 524 to 776 of the family's 1533-position model. The record is from RNAcentral.